UUUCUGUAUUUUCUUUUGUAUUAAGGAUGACGUGGAUGCUAGAAGGGAGUCCCUCAUUAAAAAGGACUUUGCCUCUAUUUGAAGGAGAAUCCUGACAUCUUGGUGCACGAGUACAUGGACAUGACUGAUGUCUCCACUCUCAGUGCCAUUGAGAAAACAACAGUGGGAGUCUAUGUUGCCAGGGAGACACCAGGCAAGGACUUUCCUGAUGUUGGCAUCAUCAUCGAAGGUGUGGUGAUACUUCAGGACCUGGAUAAUGUGGCCCUUGCAACAGCCAUGCUGUUUGGACUUUUUUACUGCUUCAACAUGAGUUACCUGGCACAGCUCCCCUACACUUUUGAGGUGAUUCAAAAGGUGGUCAUGGAAUUGGAUCCGACUGAACUCUCGAGAAAAGCCCAAAACUUAAAGACAAAACUUCAAUAAGGAGAGAUCAUUGUUGUGCACGUCACAUGUUUAACUAAAGGUAAGAGGACAUUUAUAGUUCACAUACGCCCUCUUGCAUUUUGGACAUUGAAUUUGUAGGUGAAUGAUCAGCAACCCAAAAACCAUCACAUUGUUCAGUGUAGUGUUUAUUCUGUGGGAUGGUUAUAACUGUUUACCUGCCAUGGAAACGUAGUGCCAUUUUUUUCUGUUUAAUUGGUAUGGUUCUUCAAUU
This is a non-coding RNA of Oryzias latipes (Japanese medaka), 655 nucleotides long. The record is from RefSeq and is a predicted model, not a curated record. NCBI's taxonomy places the organism in Eukaryota, Metazoa, Chordata, Actinopteri, Beloniformes, Adrianichthyidae.